AAUCUAACCCUUUGGGUGGGGGAAGUAACCAGUCGAAAGAUUGGCUAAUACCGCAUAAUGCAGCGGCUCGACAUCGAGACAGUUGUUAAAGCAGCAAUGCGCCUAAGGAGGAGCCUGCGGCAGAUUAGCUAGUUGGUAAGGUAAUGGCUUACCAAGGCUACGAUCUGUAACCGGCCUGAGAGGGCGGUCGGUCACACUGACACUGACAUACGGGUCAG
This 218-nucleotide ribosomal RNA is filed under the name uncultured bacterium. RNAcentral's name for it is "partial 16S ribosomal RNA". It matches the Rfam family "Bacterial small subunit ribosomal RNA", at positions 123 to 334 of the family's 1533-position model. The record is from RNAcentral.